This 521-nucleotide ribosomal RNA is filed under the name uncultured bacterium. Its description in RNAcentral is "bacterial SSU rRNA". It matches the Rfam family "Bacterial small subunit ribosomal RNA", at positions 8 to 573 of the family's 1533-position model. The record is from RNAcentral.
AGAGUUUGAUCAUGGCUCAGACUGAACGCUGGCGGCAUGGCUAAAACAUGCAAGUCGAACGGGUCCGCAAGGACUAGUGGCGGAAGGGUGAGUAAUGAUAUCGAACGUACCCUGAGGUGGAGGAUAGGCACGGGAAACUGUGCGUAAUACUUCAUGAUCUCUAGCGAGCAAAGUCGCAAGACGCCUUGGGAGCGGCGAUAUUCCUAUCAGGUAGUUGGCGGGGUAACGGCCCACCAAGCCGAAGACGGGUAGCCGGUGUGAGAGCACGGCCGGCCACAUCGAGACUGAGACACUGCUCGGACUCCUACGGGAGGCUGCAGUAACGAAUAUUCCGCAAUGGGCGAAAGCCUGACGGAGCAAUGCCGCGUGCGGGAUGAAGCGCUUAUGGCGUGUAAACCGCUGUCAGGAGAUAGAAACAUUGAUCAUCUCCAGAGGAAGGGGCGACUAACUCUGUGCCAGCAGUCGCGGUAAUACAGAGGCCCCGAGCGUUAGUCGGAAUCACUGGGCUUAAAGGGUGCGUA